GGAGCUGUGGCUUAAUUUGACUCAACGCGGGAAAUCUUACCGGGUCCGGACACACUGAGGAUUGACAGGCAAUAUCUCAUGGUUAUUAACCGGUUAUUUAUUUAAUCGGUUAUUAAGCAUCGAGUGUUAAAUAUGCUAGUCCUUUCAUGAUUAUGUGAUAGGUGGUGCAUGGCCGUUCUUAGUUCGUGGAGUGAUCUGUCUGCUUAAUUGCGUUUCACUAAGGGCCCAUAAAUUCAAGGUAUGUU
This 245-nucleotide ribosomal RNA is filed under the name Neogloboquadrina pachyderma. RNAcentral describes it as "partial 18S ribosomal RNA". It matches the Rfam family "Eukaryotic small subunit ribosomal RNA", at positions 1183 to 1359 of the family's 1831-position model. The record is from RNAcentral. Lineage: Eukaryota; Foraminifera; Rotaliida; Globorotaliidae.